UAGGGAAUCUUCGGCAAUGGGGGGAACCCUGACCGAGCAACGCCGCGUGAGUGAAGAAGGUUUUCGGAUCGUAAAGCUCUGUUGUUAAGGAAGAACGAGUGUGAGAAUGGAAAGUUCAUGCUGUGACGGUACCUAACCAGAAAGCCACGGCUAACUACGUGCCAGCAGCCGCGGUAAUACGUAGGUGGCAAGCGUUGUCCGGAAUUAUUGGGCGUAAAGCGCGCGCAGGUGGUUUAGAAAGUCUGAUGUGAAAGCCCACGGCUCAACCGUGGAGGGUCAUUGGAAACUAAUAAACUUGAGUGCAGGAGAGAAAAGUGGAAUUCCUAGUGUAGCGGUGAAAUGCGUAGAGAUUAGGAGGAACACCGGUGGCGAAAGCGGCUUUUUGGCCUGCAACUGACACUGAGGCGCGAAAGCGUGGGAAGCAAACAGG
RNAcentral lists this ribosomal RNA (430 nucleotides) under Verrucomicrobiota bacterium. Its description in RNAcentral is "Verrucomicrobia bacterium partial 16S ribosomal RNA". It matches the Rfam family "Bacterial small subunit ribosomal RNA", at positions 355 to 776 of the family's 1533-position model. The record is from RNAcentral. Lineage: Bacteria; Pseudomonadati; Verrucomicrobiota.